GGCUUGGUGGUGUAGUUGGUUAUCACGUCAGUCUAACAUUCAAACGUUGGAACACUGAAGGUCCGGAGUUCAAACCUCCGCUAAGUCA
RNAcentral lists this transfer RNA (88 nucleotides) under Neocucurbitaria cava. RNAcentral's name for it is "tRNA-Val". Lineage: Eukaryota; Fungi; Ascomycota; Dothideomycetes; Pleosporales; Cucurbitariaceae. The record is from RNAcentral.